GCUUCCUUAGCUCAGUCGGUAGAGCGCCAGUCUCAUAUUUGUACGAUGAGGGACUGCUGUCUCAUAAUCUGGAGGUCGCAAGUUCGAGCCUUGCAGGGAGCA
This 102-nucleotide transfer RNA is filed under the name Gymnopus androsaceus JB14. It matches the Rfam family "tRNA". Rfam says of the family: Transfer RNA (tRNA) molecules are approximately 80 nucleotides in length. Their secondary structure includes four short double-helical elements and three loops (D, anti-codon, and T loops). The record is from Rfam by way of RNAcentral. Lineage: Eukaryota; Fungi; Basidiomycota; Agaricomycetes; Agaricales; Omphalotaceae.